RNAcentral lists this ribosomal RNA (836 nucleotides) under uncultured Pseudomonadota bacterium. RNAcentral describes it as "bacterial SSU rRNA". It matches the Rfam family "Bacterial small subunit ribosomal RNA", at positions 27 to 857 of the family's 1533-position model. The record is from RNAcentral. Lineage: Bacteria; Pseudomonadati; Pseudomonadota.
GAUUGAACGCUGGCGGCAGGCUUAACACAUGCAAGUCGAGCGGGGAAGGGUAGCUUGCUACCUAACCUAGCGGCGGACGGGUGAGUAAUGCUUAGGAAUCUGCCUAUUAGUGGGGGACGACAUUCCGAAAGGAAUGCUAAUACCGCAUACGCCCUACGGGGGAAAGCAGGGGAUCUUCGGACCUUGCGCUAAUAGAUGAGCCUAAGUCAGAUUAGCUAGUUUGUGGGGUAAAGGCCUACCAAGGCGACGAUCUGUAGCGGGUCUGAGAGGAUGAUCCGCCACACUGGGACUGAGACACGGCCCAGACUCCUACGGGAGGCAGCAGUGGGGAAUAUUGGACAAUGGGCGAAAGCCUGAUCCAGCCAUGCCGCGUGUGUGAAGAAGGCCUUUUGGUUGUAAAGCACUUUAAGCGAGGAGGAGGCUACUUAGAUUAAUACUCUAGGAUAGUGGACGUUACUCGCAGAAUAAGCACCGGCUAACUCUGUGCCAGCAGCCGCGGUAAUACAGAGGGUGCGAGCGUUAAUCGGAUUUACUGGGCGUAAAGCGUGCGUAGGCGGCUUCUUAAGUCGGAUGUGAAAUCCCUGAGCUUAACUUAGGAAUUGCAUUCGAUACUGGGAAGCUAGAGUAUGGGAGAGGAUGGUAGAAUUCCAGGUGUAGCGGUGAAAUGCGUAGAGAUCUGGAGGAAUACCGAUGGCGAAGGCAGCCAUCUGGCCUAAUACUGACGCUGAGGUACGAAAGCAUGGGGAGCAAACAGGAUUAGAUACCCUGGUAGUCCAUGCCGUAAACGAUGUCUACUAGCCGUUGGGGCCUUUGAGGCUUUAGUGGCGCAGCUAACG